CCUACGGGUGGCAGCAGUGGGGAAUAUUGGGCAAUGGGCGCAAGCCUGACCCAGCAACGCCGCGUGAAGGAAGAAGGCUUUCGGGUUGUAAACUUCUUUUCUCAGGGACGAAGCAAGUGACGGUACCUGAGGAAUAAGCGACGGCUAACUACGUGCCAGCAGCCGCGGUAAUACGUAGGUGGCAAGCGUUAAGCGGAUUUACUGGGUGUAAAGGGCGUGUAGGCGGGACUGCAAGUCAGAUGUGAAAACCAUGGGCUCAACCUAUGGCCUGCAUUUGAAACUGUAGUUCUUGAGUACUGGAGAGGCAGACGGAAUUCCUGGUGUAGCGGUGAAAUGCGUAGAUAUUAGGAGGAACACCGGUGGCGAAGGCGGUCUGCUGGACAGCGACUGACGCUGAGGCGCGAAAGCGUGGGGAGCAAACAGGAUUAGAUACCCUGGUAGUC
RNAcentral lists this ribosomal RNA (443 nucleotides) under uncultured bacterium. RNAcentral describes it as "partial 16S ribosomal RNA". It matches the Rfam family "Bacterial small subunit ribosomal RNA", at positions 338 to 795 of the family's 1533-position model. The record is from RNAcentral.